Molecule: ribosomal RNA, 176 nt
Filed under: uncultured bacterium
Lineage: Bacteria
Description: partial 16S ribosomal RNA
Rfam family: Bacterial small subunit ribosomal RNA
Source: RNAcentral
GCCUGCAUGAAGUUGGAGUUGCUAGUAAUCGCGGAUCAGAAUGCCGCGGUGAAUGCGUUCCCGGGUCUUGUACACACCGCCCGUCACACCAUGGAAGUUGGGGGCGCCCGAAGUUGGUCAAGAAGAGAUUACCUAAGGCGAAACCAAUGACUGGGGUGAAGUCGUAACAAGGUAGC